RNAcentral lists this ribosomal RNA (1801 nucleotides) under human gut metagenome. Its description in RNAcentral is "bacterial LSU rRNA". It matches the Rfam family "Bacterial large subunit ribosomal RNA", at positions 1118 to 2925 of the family's 2925-position model. The record is from RNAcentral.
AUGCAUUUAAAGAGUGCGUAACAGCUCACUGGUCAAGUGGACAUGCGCCGACAAUACACGGGGCUAAGUACGAUACCGAAGCAGCGGACUGAUUUAUCAGUGGUAGGGGAGCUUUCUUAUCUGGGUUGAAGCGAAGUGGUAACGCUUCGUGGACUGAUAAGAAGUGAGAAUGCUGGCAUGAGUAACGAGAGAGGAGCGAGAAACUCCUCCGCCGUAAGCCUAAGGGUUCCUGGGCAAGGCUAAUCCUCCCAGGGUCAGUCGGGAGCUAAGGCGAGGCCGGAAGGCGUAGCCGAUGCACAACGGGUCGAUAUUCCCGUACCGCUGACGAGCGUUUGACCGACGGGGUGACGGAGAAGGGUAGCCGGGCGGGGUUCUGGACGUCCCCGUGAAAGCGUGUAGGGUGAUAAGUAGGCAAAUCCGCUUGUCGUAUACCUGAGACGUUAGACGAAGCUCUAAGUGAAGUCGGUAAGCCCAUGCUUCCAAGAAAAACCUCUAAGCAGAAUGCGAGGUGCCCGUACCAAAACCGACACAGGUAGGCGGGUAGAGCAUACCAAGGCGAUCGGGAGAACCAUGGUUAAGGAACUCGGCAUAAUGACUCCGUAACUUCGGGAGAAGGAGUGCCCUUGUUGGUGACUAAACUUGCUUUACGAGCUGAUGAGGGUCGCAGCGAAACGGCCCAAGCGACUGUUUAUCAAAAACACAGGACUCUGCUAAGUCGCAAGACGACGUAUAGGGUCUGACGCCUGCCCGGUGCUGGAAGGUUACGUGGAUGUGUUAGCAUCUCGCGAAGCACUGAAACUAAGCCCCAGUAAACGGCGGCCGUAACUAUAACGGUCCUAAGGUAGCGAAAUUCCUUGUCGGGUAAGUUCCGACCUGCACGAAUGGCGUAACGAUUUGGGCGCUGUCUCAACCAUGGACCCGGUGAAAUUGUAUUAUUCGUGAAGAUGCGAAUUACCUGCGGAAGGACGGAAAGACCCCGUGAACCUUUACUGCAGCUUGGCAUUGGCUGUUGGCACGUCGUGUAGAGGAUAGGUGGGAGACUGUGAAGCAGAAACGCCAGUUUCUGUGGAGUCACCCUUGGAAUACCACCCUCGGCUUGCUGGCAGCCUAACGUGUGACCGUUAUCCGGCACACGGACCGUGCCAGGUGGGUAGUUUGACUGGGGCGGUCGCCUCCUAAAUGGUAACGGAGGCGUGCGUAAGGUUCGCUCAGGAUGGUUGGCAAUCAUCCGUAGAGCACAAGAGUAUAAGCGAGCUUGACUGCGAGACCUACAAGUCGAGCAGAGACGAAAGUCGGUUCUAGUGAUCCGGCGGCCCAGCGUGGAAUGGCCGUCGCUCAACGGAUAAAAGGUACUCCGGGGAUAACAGGCUGAUCUUGCCCAAGAGUCCACAUCGACGGCAAGGUUUGGCACCUCGAUGUCGGCUCAUCGCAUCCUGGGGCUGUAGCAGGUCCCAAGGGUAUGGCUGUUCGCCAUUUAAAGCGGUACGCGAGCUGGGUUCAGAACGUCGUGAGACAGUUCGGUCCCUAUCCUCCGUGGGCGUAAGAGAAUUGAGAGGAUCUGUCCCUAGUACGAGAGGACCGGGAUGGACGGACCUCCGGUGUCGCAGUUGUUGACCAACAGCAUGGCUGCCUAGCCGCGUCCGGAUGUGAUAACCGCUGAAAGCAUCUAAGUGGGAAGCCGACCUCAAGAUGAGUUCUCUUUUUGGUAAGGCCACUUCUAGACUAGGAGUUUGAUAGGCCGCAGCUGUAAGGCGAGCAAUCGUUUCAGGCGAGCGGUACUAAUCGGCCGAGCUCUUCAUCU